Molecule: non-coding RNA, 198 nt
Filed under: Pseudofrankia inefficax
Lineage: Bacteria; Bacillati; Actinomycetota; Actinomycetes; Frankiales; Frankiaceae
Source: RNAcentral
CGACGGCAUCGUUUGUGGGGUGCCCCGGGCGACCGGGGAGAAUCGGGAAGCCGGUGUGAGUCCGGCACGGGCCCGCCGCGGUAACCGGGAAGUCGCUGUCCACGCGCCACGCGCAGCCACUGGGCCUCAGGGCCUGGGAAGGCGGACAGCCGGCGUCGAUCCGGGAGUCCGAAGACCGGCCCCGCACGGGUGCCGCCC